This 1392-nucleotide long non-coding RNA is filed under the name Gossypium barbadense (sea-island cotton). Its description in RNAcentral is "long non-coding RNA (GBAR_LNC007749)". Lineage: Eukaryota; Viridiplantae; Streptophyta; Magnoliopsida; Malvales; Malvaceae. The record is from RNAcentral.
AAUUAUAUAUUAAAGAAAAGUUAAAAGGACCAAAUAGGCAAUUAUGCCUUUUUCUAAAGUUGAGGCGGCAUAAUGAAAGAAAUAUCUGAGAUAUUCUAGUUAAUAUAUAUAUUAUAUAUAUGUAAGUAAUGAUUAUUAUUAAUAUUUUAUAUUAUAUUAUAUUAUAUAUAUAUAACAAAAGAAAGAAUAGAAAUGAGAAAGAAAGAAACAGAGAGCAAAACGAAACAGAGAAGGGAGAAAGAAGAAAAAGAAAGAGCGACGGUUCAGGGGUUUCAAAACUUCUAAAUUCAAUUGAUCAAGAAGUACGAAACUCGAGGUUAGACAAAGGGAAGAAUAAAGUUGAAGACUAAGUUGAUGAAUUUGGCUAUAAUUGGUACCGAGGUAAGUUUACGGUAAAUAAAUGCAAUAUUUCAAUAUUUAUUAUUAAUGCUGUUAAUUUCCAGCAAUUAUGAAUUUAUUUUAUGAAUUUAUUUGAUGAUGAUCCAAGCAUGAAAUGAUAGAGAAUUAAAAUUUAAAAGUCCCGUUGAUACAUAAGGAUGGUACUGGAUACGAAUGUCAUGACAUUUGGGUAAAGAGAUCCCAUGUAAGACCAUGUCUGGGACAUGGCAUUGGCAUCCUUAAGAUCAUGAGAGGUCCCCUGUAAGACCAUGUCUGGGACAUGGCAUGGGCACCGAGACGAGAGGUCUCAUGUAAGACCAUGUCUGGGACAUGGCGUUGGCACCGAGAUGAGAGGUCCUCUAUAAGACCAUGUCUGGGACAUGGCUUUGGCAUGUUAUUAUCAGAAGAGACCCGAGUAUCCUUAUUAUUCUAAUGUAGUUCAACGGGCUUGUAAACGAAUCAUGUUCAUGAAAGUUCAGUUUAAAGCAUAAAUGGUAAGCUCAGGUAAGUUGUAAGACUUAAGAACUUAUUAUACUAUCAAUUGAUGUUCAACGAUGCAGCAAUGAUUGAGUAAGUUAUGCACACAAAUAUUCUAAGUAAACAAGUAAGAGAACUAGUAUGAGAUUAACUAAAGAAUAAACUAGAGAUAUAGACAUUGAGUUUAAUUAUUUAAGUUAAAUAUUGUUAUUUAUUUGCUAGUAAACUUACUAAGCUUUAUGCUUACUUCUUUUAUUUCUCUUUCUCUUAUAGUAUUGCAAAGCUACUUCAAGGAUCCUAAAGAAGUCGGAGAUCGUCCACACUAUCAACUACAACUGCUCGGUAUUUUAUAUCGAAACACGUUUAAGUUAUGACAUGUAUAGGGAUUUAGUUAUUUUGUAUGUUUGUAGUGAUGAUUUUGCUAAUGAGUGAUGUGUAAGUAUUUGAUGAUGUAUGGUUAUUAAAAUGAUUAAGGAUGAAGGUGUUUGUUGUUAUGAAAGAUUAGGUGAUAAAUUAUGCAUGGAAAUCAUGAAAGGA